Molecule: microRNA precursor, 103 nt
Filed under: Sorex araneus (European shrew)
Lineage: Eukaryota; Metazoa; Chordata; Mammalia; Eulipotyphla; Soricidae
Description: miRNA (ENSSARG00000016909.1)
Source: RNAcentral
UGUGAUGCAGAAUCUUCAUCUGUGCCCCAAAGAAUUGAGUAGUGGUUUGUGCCACGGUAUAAAGAUUGAAUCUUCCUGGAUCAAUUAGACUUAAUUCAUUAUU